Molecule: long non-coding RNA, 339 nt
Organism: Myotis myotis
Lineage: Eukaryota; Metazoa; Chordata; Mammalia; Chiroptera; Vespertilionidae
Exons: 2
Source: RefSeq, a predicted model, not a curated record
GGAAGCAAGUGUGACUUCUCCACUCUCUUUCUCCUUACACCAGCUCUGGCAGCUGAAUGCAGUGACCUGAUAGAGAUGAUGGAACCACAGAAGGAGCCCGGGAAGGGAGCCGCCUACCAAAUAGGAACAUUCAUUUUGGAUUUUAGAUGAGCGAGCAACAAACUUCAAUCAUGUUUGAGUCAUCAAAUAUUUUAAGAUGUUGAUUGGCUGGACCAUGUAGAAGAUGCAUCUUUAACUUUGGAAGAAACUGCCAGCAGUGUCUGAGAGGUCCAGUCGCUCCACCUCCUCAGCAUCACUUUGUACAGACAGGUUAUUGUUUUAAAAUCUUCGUUCUUCCAG